This is a long non-coding RNA of Bombus terrestris (buff-tailed bumblebee), 1085 nucleotides long. RefSeq lists it as uncharacterized. The transcript has 4 exons. The record is from RefSeq and is a predicted model, not a curated record. Lineage: Eukaryota; Metazoa; Arthropoda; Insecta; Hymenoptera; Apidae.
AAGAAGACCAGUAUGUACAUAAAGAAACCUUAUUACAACUGUUUACACUUUGUCAAAACAACGUUCGAUCGUUGCGAUCUGACUGGAUUAACUUUCAAUUUCCAUAACUUAUCUGUUGCGAAGGAAGACGGGGGAUCGGUUAUUGUUACCGAUCGAUGACUAAUCCGCUCUGGAAUCGUUAGUAUUCGCUACGUAAGGGCGCUAACUGACUCGAUUAUAGUUCGGGGCCCGCGAGAACAAAGGACCACCAACGUGACAAUUGAGCUUCAUCGCGCUGAUAUAAAGUUACAGAUGCGAAGGGAGAAAAUGAGAGGCGAAUAUUAAGUCGGCAUACAAAAUGGCCGUCGCGAAGUGUGGAAAAAAAUAGGGAUGCGUUAGCUCCUCUCGCUUCUGUGUACCACAUGCUGGUUCACAGAAUGCAAUGCGCGUGGGGGUCGAAAGACGUGACGCGCAUGCGUCAACUACACGGAUCGAAAGCUCCGCCCGGUGACUGCCUUUGUUUAAUCCACGGUACCUACGCCCACGACAUGUGGCCAACAAACUACGAAUUUGUCUCUCGACGGGAUCCUAAUCUUGGAUUGCAAUACGCCACAGAUGCUAAAAAGCAUGACGUGAGUGGGAAUUCGAUGACGCGAAAUAUGCCAGCGUUUAUGAGUGUGUUGUUGUCCUUUUUUUAAUAACAAAGAAUAUAUAUAAUGACGAGAAUGUACAUUAAACGAAAAGUAGAGAAGAAAUUUUCCCUCUAAUUAUAAUUGGAAUCGAUCUAUGUUUUACAUAAAUCAUUCAGUUUCACCUCAAAUUCUUCACCUUCUGGGUCAGUAUCCCAUCCAAUAUACAAAUCACUGGAGGAGAUAAGGUGCUUUUAAUACUGCAGCAAUGUUUCGUCAUUACCCGAAGGCAUAACUAACAGAAAGGAAGUGGAAAUGCAAAUCAAUCCGUAAAUCAAAACAUUGCUCAUGUCGGAAAUAUGAAACUCCCUGUAAACGGAAAUAUCCGUGCACCCUGGAAAUCUGCAGCAGACGCAAUGCACAAACGUGUAACCUGGUAAUUGAAACGAAAAUAUAUGAUGAAAUGGCAAAAGAAAA